RNAcentral lists this unclassified non-coding RNA (230 nucleotides) under plant metagenome. Its description in RNAcentral is "partial contains small subunit ribosomal RNA, internal transcribed spacer 1, and 5.8S ribosomal RNA". The record is from RNAcentral.
UUUCCCUAGGUGAACCUGCGGAAGGAUCAUUCAUAAUAAAGUGUUUUAUGGCACUUUUUAAAAAUCCAUAUCCACCUUGUGUGCAAUGUUAAGUCUCUCGUUCAAGACAGUUUCGACUGUUCUUGGGCAGGGUCUUUAUAUAUCAACUCUUUCUUAAACCAAUUUGUCUGAAAACUAUUAUGAAUACUUAAUUCAAAAUACAACUUUCAACAACGGAUCUCUUGGCUCUC